RNAcentral lists this ribosomal RNA (793 nucleotides) under uncultured bacterium. Its description in RNAcentral is "bacterial SSU rRNA". It matches the Rfam family "Bacterial small subunit ribosomal RNA", at positions 28 to 833 of the family's 1533-position model. The record is from RNAcentral.
AGUGAACGCUGGCGGCGUGCUUAACACAUGCAAGUCGAACGAGAACGGGUUAAAGCUUGCUUUAACUGUCAGCUAAGUGGCGCACGGGUGAGUAAUAUAUAGGUAACAUGCCCUAGAGAGGGGGAUAACAGUUGGAAACGACUGCUAACACCCCAUAUGCCUUUAAGUCUAAAGACUGCAAGGGAAACAUUUAUGGCUCUAGGAUUGGCCUGUACGGUAUCAGCUAGUUGGUGAGGUAAUGGCUCACCAAGGCAAUGACACCUAACUGGUUUGAGAGGAUGAUCAGUCACACUGGAACUGAGACACGGUCCAGACUCCUACGGGAGGCAGCAGUGGGGAAUAUUGCACAAUGGACGAAAGUCUGAUGCAGCAACGCCGCGUGGAGGAUGACACAUUUCGGUGCGUAAACUCCUUUUAUAUAGGAAGAUAAUGACGGUACUAUAUGAAUAAGCACCGGCUAACUCCGUGCCAGCAGCCGCGGUAAUACGGAGGGUGCAAGCGUUACUCGGAAUUACUGGGCGUAAAGAGCGUGUAGGCGGGUCAAUAAGUUGGAAGUGAAAUCCUAUGGCUCAACCAUAGAACUGCUUCCAAAACUGUUAACCUAGAAUGUGGGAGAGGUAGAUGGAAUUUCUGGUGUAGGGGUAAAAUCCGUAGAUAUUAGAAGGAAUACCGAUUGCGAAGGCGAUCUACUGGAACACUAUUGACGCUGAGACGCGAAAGCGUGGGGAGCAAACAGGAUUAGAUACCUGGUAGUCCACGCCCUAAACGAUGUACACUAGUUGUUGUGAGGCUA